RNAcentral lists this small RNA (172 nucleotides) under uncultured Prevotella sp. Its description in RNAcentral is "Bacteroidales-1 6S-Bacteroidales RNA suggested". It matches the Rfam family "Bacteroidales-1 6S-Bacteroidales RNA suggested". The record is from RNAcentral. Lineage: Bacteria; Pseudomonadati; Bacteroidota; Bacteroidia; Bacteroidales; Prevotellaceae.
CGUGUUUGAAAGAUAAGGAUACUCAUCAAAUAAUUCAGAAAACCCGGACUUACUUCCUUUGCCAAUGGCGGGCCACAUUCGAAAGAUAGCCGUCAGGCCGGUGGAUUACAAAAGCAAGGAGGAGUCCAAACCUUAUUCAAUAAGGAGUUUUCAUCAUCUUCGAAUGCGGUCC